Molecule: unclassified non-coding RNA, 275 nt
Filed under: uncultured fungus
Lineage: Eukaryota; Fungi
Description: sequence contains ITS1
Rfam family: 5.8S ribosomal RNA (bases 1-94)
Source: RNAcentral
AAGUGCGAUAUUUAGUGCGAUUUGCAUGAAUCUGUGAGUCAUCGAGUCUUUGAACGCAACUUGCGCCUGUAAAGGCAUGUCUAUUUGAGUAUCUAUAAACCAAAUGCAGAAAUGCGAUUUUAUUAGUCCAAUAAAAUGGUCUAAUUAAAUAUAGAUCUUUUUAACAAAAGGUUAAUUAUACCUUCUUGAAGCUAAAGACGAAAGUCUUGUUCAAGAAAUAUUCUUAAUCUCUUAUAUUUGAUCUCAAAUUAGGCAAGAUUACCCGCUGAACUUAA